UACGGAGGGUGCAAGCGUUAUCCGGAUUCACUGGGCUUAAAGGGUGCGUAGGCGGGCUGGUAAGUCAGUGGUGAAAUCUCCGGGCUUAACUCGGAAACUGCCAUUGAUACUAUCAGUCUUGAAUACCGUGGAGGUCAGUAGAAUAUGUCAUGUAGCGGUGAAAUGCUUAGAUAUGACAUAGAAUACCAAUUGCGAAGGCAGCUGGCUACACGAAUAUUGACACUCAGGCACGAAAGCGUGGGGAUCAAACAGG
This 253-nucleotide ribosomal RNA is filed under the name uncultured bacterium. Its description in RNAcentral is "partial 16S ribosomal RNA". It matches the Rfam family "Bacterial small subunit ribosomal RNA", at positions 524 to 776 of the family's 1533-position model. The record is from RNAcentral.